UUUAGAUGUAAAGCUAAAUUUCUCCAAAUUUGUUCCAAUGAAUAAACAAACACAACUACAUCUUGGAUGGCUUGAGGGAUCCAUUGGUGGGCAAGUGAUGUAAUGCUAAAUUUCACCAAAUUUUCUCCAAAUCUGUUCCUAAGAAACAAAGUCAUCUACGUCUUGGAUGGCCAGAGAGUGAGUAUAUUUUUGGCAAAUCUUCAUUGUUGUAUGAACUAUUCCUUUAGGAGAAAAAAAAAAUAAAACAAAACAAACAAAAAAAACCUUUGUCAUUUUCCUGCAGUGUCCACAAGCAUAUGGUUUAAGAUGUUCUGAUUAAAGCUGGUUUCAAGAAGCACCUACAGUAAACCACCUGAAAACAGGCAAGAUGUGGACAGACCCUGUCAGUACAAUGAUAUAGCUGGCCCAAUCUCGCUCUCAUGUCCACUCACAUCAGUACAGACAGAGAGAGAGAAGCCCUUGUUUACUCUUCAGGCCAUUUCUGUGGACGACAAGCCAAAGUAACGUCCUGCAUCAUUCCUUUCGUCAUGUGAUCUUGAAUGUCCGAGCAUGUCUGAGCAAUUUCAAACGCAAAAUGAAGGGAUAUUGCAAGGCAUUUCAAACUCAUAUGGCUUUCUUUCUUCGUUCCUUGGAUGAACACAAGGAGAUUUUUUGAAGAAUGCACUGGAUGCUGAUAUACACUGUAAAAAAAUAUUUUUUUAAAGUCAUAAAUAAAAG
Cyprinus carpio carpio is the source of this 717-nucleotide long non-coding RNA. The record is from Ensembl. NCBI's taxonomy places the organism in Eukaryota, Metazoa, Chordata, Actinopteri, Cypriniformes, Cyprinidae.